AUGAGGUCUUUCACUGUAACAAGUAAGCAUCAAUGUCUUUUCCCUUUCAGUUCAUUUUUAAAUUACACUGAGUCAUUUUAUAAAGAUUUUUUAAAAUAUUUAUCUAUGAAAGAACAACCCAAGAGAAUUUUUGGUGAAAGAACUGGGAGGGUGGGCAGAAAUGGUAUUUCAAUGUUUCCCAAGACAGUUAUAAAGAUUCAGCUGUAAUUUACAUGACGGAUGUCCAAUUGCUCACAAUUUCCUAAACAACUACAAAAUGGUAGCAAAUUGUAACAUAUUUUGUGAUAAUUGAUACCUAUUAAAAUUGUGUAUGGAGUCCAAGGUGAUCUACCUUCUUCAAAAGUCAUGAUAAUGAGGCUCAACACCUCAUAAUUCAGAGGAAGUUCUGAGUACCCAUCACAUCUUCGGAGAGACUGGAACCCAGUAUUGGCUCCACGUUAUCAAGAUGCCUAGCUGAUUCUUAGUCCUCAUUCCCAACUCUACUUUCAGGCAUGGUUUGAGCCAUUAAACAAAGCACUUAAUUUUAUCUUCCACAUGAAAACUUUAAUUCAAGCAACAAACAUAUUAAGAAGCUAUUUCCUACAAAAAAAAAAAACUAAAACAAUAAUUCUCAACAGAUCAAGAAAAAAGCAGAUGACAAAGAACAGUCUAAUCUAGGAAAAAAAGCAAAAACAGUGCUUUUCAAAUAUUUCUAAUAGGAAAAUUAAUUUCAUAUUCCUCUAACCAUCUACUGGAAUUAAACUUUUAAAUAAUCCUCUAACAGAAGUCCAUUUUCUGCAUCCAUCUGCAGCUAAGAAUGAGAAGUAAAAUACAGAUAUUACUUGAAGUAACUGAGAAAUGUUUAAAAUGAAAAUCAUAGCAUGUAGCAAAAUCAAGAAAAUGCAUAAAUAAAUAUACCAGUGUAGUUAAUGUUUCUUACCCUAAACAUUUUUUUUGUCAAAUGUAACACAUUGUUGAACACUGUGGCAAGUGCACUUUCUUAUGAACUGAUGCUAUUGUCACAGAGGGAAAUUUCUCCAAAAUGAAAAAGCACCAACCUAAAUUCAUUAAAAUAACUGAUAUUCAUGGUUUGGAAAGUUGCUCGUGUCAAGAUUUUACAACAGAGUAAAAAUUUAAGCUUCUGAAUGAAAACCAUUUACAUUAGUUAAGGCACAUCUAGAUACCUCCAGGCAAUCGUAUUUAUAACUAUAUUAUUAUUAACUUCAGUAAUAAGGGAUUCCUAAAAACACCGUCUGUCCCUGAACACAAUCUGCUGGGUGGGCUGGAUAACUAGAACAGGGAAGGAGGCAGGGUAGUACUCAUUGUCACCCUAGAGAUUACCCACACAGAUCUGUUCAUGUAAUAAACACUCCAGAAUUCAAAGUUGAAAGAAGUCAAUAUAUAUGUAACUCCUAAUUUUCAAGAUCCUACAUUGGCCCUCUUGUCAUUCUCAACACCCACACCUGCAUUGAAAUGAUUCUAGCACGCCUAACUCCAACCUACCUUGUAUUUAACACAUAUACCCCAAAAGACAAAGGAGAAUUCUCUAAGUGAGAAACAAAUUAGAAAUCUUCAAAACCAUUCCUAACACAAAGAAUCUCCACUCAGCCCAAAUAGACACAAAAGACCCAUAGACGAAGAUACAUUCAAGUAAGAUCAAGAAGGUCCUUCUUUUCUCAGGUUAGAAAAUAAAGCUUUUAGAAGAGCCUUACUUAUAGAAAGACAAAAACCUGGUUGAUUUAGUUACUUGACAGAGUAUGAACUCAAUCAUAACUCUAUUUUAAACUUUGGAAAUUUAAACAAUUAACCAAAUAGUCUCUAUCAGUUCAACCAGUUUUUGACCACUUGAUAUGGAAAUUUACCUACUAAAGUGUUUUUUUUAAAGAAUAACUCAGAACAUUGCACUGUUUUUCCUUUUUCACCAGAUCAUAUUUUCACUCAUAUUAAAGCAUAAAAGCUAGAAGCAAAAUAGGUAGUUUUAUACAAAAUGUGAAACAUAAUGACUAUGAUAGGUAUUAAAUGACAUUUUCAUAUGUUUAAAUUUUUAAUACUUAGCAAAAAAAUCUUAGAACUUCUCUAAUAACUCCUGAGUUGUACACUUCAUUUCCUACUUGAAGCUUACAAAGUGGUCUAAAAACCUAAAUUCAAAAUAAAACUUUACAAAAUAAUUUUUGAACUGAGAACUAGACCUGAUUUACAGAAAUCAGACACAUUUCACUUCUAUCAUGAUUCUUUUUAGUUUCUUAUGAGAUUGAGCAUGAAAUUGUAUAAUAGUACAAUAUUCUUAAUGUUAUAAACUUUUCUCUACUGUACAGAAAUAUAUCUUAUAAUUAUAUAUCACUUUACAGUAUUUCAAAAUACUUCCACAUACAUUAUCUCCUUAGAGAUAUGAAAGCAUAAAAUAUUAGAAAUGUGCUAGACUAAGUGAUAUAACAUCUAUUUGCCAUGAAAUGCAAUUUAAUAUUUUAUCAAUAGCCAAUGUUUCUAUCCUCACAGUCCAAGGUACAAUGAUAAAGUCUAUAUAUUUGCAAAGAUUCAAUAAUUUUUCUAGCUAUUUGGCCAUGCUUCACUGCAUUUUUUAAAACAACUUCUCAAUAAUUUUCUGCAAGCAUAUGGUAGUUUUUUAAAAAUACAAAACAUCAGAGUCAAACCCAGAGGGCUGUUUCAUAUCGAAGACCCACAUAAAUACAUAUCUAUAGAUCUUAUUUAAAAAACUAUUAAUUGUACAAAGUAUUCUUUAUAGAAAAAAAUGCCAAACACUCAUAACUUUUAUCUGCAAAAGGAAUGACAUCCCCUUACUUGUUCUUCACUGAAGAAUUCUCUCAUAAAUUAUUUGCAGAUUAAAUGGAGGAAUCAUUCUAUUAUAUAUGAAUAUGCAUUAAAAAAUGACAUGAAGGGACAAGGCCAAUGUUUUAAAUGGAAGCCAGGCAAUUUUCUCCCUUGAAACUAAAUAUUCUCAAAUUAAUUUGCACAAUAUAAUCAAACCCCUAGUUAGGAAUAAUAUUCUAAGAGUUAAAUUGUUGAAUGAAAUGUUUUUACUUGUAAGGGCUCUGAUAUACUACAGUUCCUAAGUCAUUCAGAUUAUAACCAUUUAUUUUAGUCUUUGUCCAUUGUUUGUCAAUAUUUUGAUAUCUGGUCACAACUUUUUAAUAUUAUGCACUUAGAAAGCAGGCUGAACACUUUAUCAUGUAUUCAAAAUUGGUAAGAUAUUUUGAAUUAAUCAUGCUCCUACAAUUUGGCUCAAUGUGACAACUACUCUCACCAUCUAACCUGGAAAACUGUUUAUUAAACUCUACAGUGGCCGUGCUACAAGCUCCACAUUAAGACGGCCCAUACAAAAAAAAAAAAAAAAUUUGAAAUGCAAAAGCAGAAUUGUUUCCCCAAAUCUUAAUACUGAUUUCACAAAACAACAGAAAGCAAAAAUUAGGAUAUUAUGGGAACCAAAAAUGAGAAAAUAGUCUAUAUUAAUUGGAAUAUGAUAUACAACUUAGUUACUAAUAUUCAUACUUAAAAAGUCAAGUUUGAGCAACCGUGGUAUUUCAUGUAAACUUCAAAGCAAUAAAAUCAUAUUUCUAAAGACAUACUAUUGAUAGAUUUUCUAAAAAUCCUCUGCUGGAAAUCCCCAAUCAUAAAGGUAACAGAAGAUGGUAUGAUAGGACUCACAAACAGGACAUAGUAAAAAUUCUCUGGGGAUUAAAGUGAAUCUAAAAACCCAAGAGAUACACAAAAGCUAGUUCCACUCCAAAUGAAAGUGAAAUUUUUUUCUAUUAAUUGCUUUAACUGUAUUUGUAUGUAUGCUUUGAAGUUCUCACCACAGAGUUUCUGAUUAUUUUCUGAUGUGUAAUAUUAAUUACACAUCAAUUAAUAUUAGCAAGUAGUACAAGAAAUAAAACUACUUGUUCUAACCAAUAUUAACACAUUAAGUGUCUACUAAAACUUAGUGUGGAUAAGGAAUUUGAUGAAGGGGAUCCCUGGGUGGCUCAGCGGUUUAGCACCUGCCUCUGGCGCAGGGCGCGAUCCUGGAGUCCUGGGAUCAAGUCCCACGUCAGGCUCCUGGCAUGGAGCCUGCUUCUCCCUCCUCCUGUGUCUCUGCCUCUCUCUCUCUCUCUCUCUCUCUCUCUCUCUAUCAUAAAUAAAGAAAUAAAUCUUUAAAAAAAAAGGAAUUUGAUGAAGAUAUGGAAUUUCAAAUCUAUUCUCAAUUUCAAGGUUUGACAACUUAGAGAUACAUCAUAUGUUUUCUUUUUUAAAGAUACUCUGGACAAAGCAAGAUUAUUAAUUUCAUAGCCCAAAGAACACUAAGAUAGUCAAGGCUUUUAGAAACCACUGCUUUGCUGCCAGGUAAGAAGCAGGCCAUUUAAAAAUGAGUAAUUUUUUUCCUUAUUUUUUAAUUCUUUAGUCAUUUGCAUUCAGAAACAAGCACCAAAUUUCUAUGAGACAGCCAUAAAAGCAAAAUACUUUCCUUGGACUUUUGCAUUGUAAUUUGUUUUUAAGCAUUUAACACAGAAAAACAUUUUCAUUACUUUAAAAAAGCAAAUUCUUGAUAUCGUACAG
This 4530-nucleotide long non-coding RNA is filed under the name Canis lupus familiaris (dog). RNAcentral's name for it is "lncRNA (ENSCAFG00030017644.1)". Lineage: Eukaryota; Metazoa; Chordata; Mammalia; Carnivora; Canidae. The record is from RNAcentral.